UACGUAGGUGGCAAGCGUUGUCCGGAAUUAUUGGGCGUAAAGCGCGCGCAGGUGGUUCCUUAAGUCUGAUGUGAAAGCCCACGGCUCAACCGUGGAGGGUCAUUGGAAACUGGGGAACUUGAGUGCAGAAGAGGAAAGUGGAAUUCCAAGUGUAGCGGUGAAAUGCGUUGAGAUUUGGAGGAACACAAGUGGCGAAGGCGACUUUCUGGUCUGUAACUGACACUGAGGCGCGAAAGCGUGGGGAGCAAACAGG
Molecule: ribosomal RNA, 253 nt
Filed under: uncultured bacterium
Lineage: Bacteria
Description: partial 16S ribosomal RNA
Rfam family: Bacterial small subunit ribosomal RNA
Source: RNAcentral